UAGGGGCUGGGGGAGGAGACAGGGGAGGAGACACAGGAGGAGGAAAAAGGAGAGUUUCGAAGCGGUGUUGGCUGCCACUGCAGUACGAAUGAGCGCGCGGGACCGGCUGGAGAAUGUCCUGGAGGAGCUGGAAGAGAUGGACUUCAAGAAGUUCAAGGUGAAGCUGAACCAGGCGCAGCCACCCUCGGGCUGCAGCAACAUCCCGCGGGGUCGGCUGGAGCGGGCAGACUAUCUCGAUGUAUGCAGCCUGAUGAUCAGCUACUACCUGGAGACAGGGGCUAUACAGAUGGCCAAGCAGGUGCUGGAGGACAUCAACCAGAGGGCCUUGGCUGCCAGGCUGGAGGGGGUAUAAGAGGGGAAUCUAAUGAAAAAGGAAACAUCCCAGACAACAAAAUGCACUUUCCCCUCUAAAGAGCUCCAAAUCCUGCCACACAGAGACAGCAAGAAAACUCAUGAUCCUGCCACCCACCUGGGUCUCUCGGCACAUGCCCGUGGUCAACGAUGAAGGUCACAGAAGCAUUGCAGACACCUUUCUCUGCCAUUCCUGCCUCGCUCCAAUUCCUGCCUUGGUGUCUUACGGCUUUUGCCUUUCCCUGCUCAGGAUGACCACAGAUUUCCAUCAUUCCUAUUUUUGAACAAAUAAAGAGAUAUUUUUACAGUU
Non-coding RNA from Chrysemys picta bellii (western painted turtle), 661 nucleotides. The record is from RefSeq and is a predicted model, not a curated record. Lineage: Eukaryota; Metazoa; Chordata; Testudines; Emydidae.